This 421-nucleotide ribosomal RNA is filed under the name uncultured bacterium. RNAcentral's name for it is "bacterial SSU rRNA". It matches the Rfam family "Bacterial small subunit ribosomal RNA", at positions 355 to 774 of the family's 1533-position model. The record is from RNAcentral.
UAAGGAAUAUUGGUCAAUGGACGCAAGUCUGAACCAGCCAUGCCGCGUGAAGGAUGAAGGUCCUCUGGAUUGUAAACUUCUUUUAUCUGGGACGAAAACGGGAUUUUUAUCUCAAUUGACGGUACCAGAGGAAUAAGCACCGGCUAACUCCGUGCCAGCAGCCGCGGCAAUACGGAGGGUGCGAGCGUUAUCCGGAUUUACUGGGUUUAAAGGGUGCGUAGGUGGGCUUAUAAGUCAGUGGUGAAAUCUCCGAGCUUAACUUGGAAACUGCCGUUGAUACUAUAGGUCUUGAAUUAUCUGGAGGUAAGCGGAAUAUGUCAUGUAGCGGUGAAAUGCUUAGAUAUGACAUAGAACACCAAUUGCGAAGGCAGCUUACUACAUAUAAAUUGACGCUGAGGCACGAAAGCGUGGGGAUCAAACA